UACGGAGGAUGCGAGCGUUAUCCGGAUUUAUUGGGUUUAAAGGGUGCGCAGGCGGAUUUGUAAGUCAGCGGUGAAAUCUCCAGGCUCAACCUGGAAUGUGCCGUUGAAACUGCAGAUCUUGAGUAUGGAUGAAGUAGGCGGAAUUCGUUGUGUAGCGGUGACAUGCUUAGAUAUAACGAGGAACUCCGAUUGCGUAGGCAGCUUACUAAACUAUAACUGACGCUCAUGCACGAAAGCGUGGGGAUCAAACAGG
RNAcentral lists this ribosomal RNA (253 nucleotides) under uncultured Dysgonomonas sp. RNAcentral describes it as "partial 16S ribosomal RNA". It matches the Rfam family "Bacterial small subunit ribosomal RNA", at positions 524 to 776 of the family's 1533-position model. Lineage: Bacteria; Pseudomonadati; Bacteroidota; Bacteroidia; Bacteroidales; Dysgonomonadaceae. The record is from RNAcentral.